CUAGUAUCUCUCUUCUCAAUAUCAAGGUAUUUCUCUCUUCUUUCGGCUUUUUAUCUUUUCGUCGUUUCGCUAUUGAAUUUGAUUAUUAUUUGUUACAUAUCUUUUGAUUCUCUGAAUGGUAUUAUCUGAUCGUCUGAGAAAUUCCAAUUCUCAAGUGGUUUGUGUUUUCCGUUGAUUUUGAUUUGUUGUUAUUGUAAUUGUAAUUGAUCCGUUGAUUUCUGUUCAUGGAUCCUAUUUGUUAUGUCUAUUUAUGUAUCUUGGUUUAUGGUUUUAAGAUUUAUGGAUGGUGGUUGAAAGGGAUGCUUAAAUUUUAGGGAUUGAUCUUUCUUUUGAUUCGACUCCUUUUUUUUAAAUACCUUAUUUUUUUCCUUGUUGUUAUUUUGAUCUUUUGGCGUUUAGUUUAAUGUUUGCUUUCUUUGAUAAAGUAACAAGGCCAUUGAUUUGAUAGAGCGAAUUAUGAUCUGAUGAAGCAGAUGCUUUUUCUAUGGACAUGUUUCCAGUUUUAUUUUGAAGUUUUAAUACGUAAAUUGUUCUAUGUUGCUCAAAAUUUCAACUGAUUGUUUGGCAAAGUUUUUCCUUUGUUUUGGAUAUUUGCUUUUGAAGAAUUUCUGUGUUAUAUCUUGUUACAGGUCUAUUAUGUCUUUCUUUUGCUGAAAGAACUAGGAUUGAUUUUACAAUAAGCUUGAAUUGAAAUUUUGUAUCUUUUUGAGACCUAAAGAGAACUCGACCAUACUUUAUUUUAUGGUAUACUAUGCUUUUUUAUUCUUAUAAUAGUGUAAUAAUUUUAUGAUACGACCGUGAUUAUUGAUUCCUGUAAUAGUGUUAUGCUGAAUUGUUGAAUUUUUUUUUGGUACCCAAAACUUCAUUAGAAAUUGUUUUUUAAGUCCUUAAUUUUUUGGUUAUUAAGGCUUUAAACUACUGUUUAAGUUUGCUUUCUUUCUGCUAAACAGAUGCAGAUCUUUGUGAAAACCCUCACUGGC
This 980-nucleotide unclassified non-coding RNA is filed under the name Hevea brasiliensis (rubber tree). The record is from RNAcentral. Lineage: Eukaryota; Viridiplantae; Streptophyta; Magnoliopsida; Malpighiales; Euphorbiaceae.